CAGAUGUAGUUCAUUGGUAGAACCCCAGCUUCCCAAGCUGGUGAGGCGGGUUCGAUUCCCGUCAUCUG
RNAcentral lists this transfer RNA (68 nucleotides) under uncultured Eubacterium sp. It matches the Rfam family "tRNA". From Rfam's summary of the family: Transfer RNA (tRNA) molecules are approximately 80 nucleotides in length. Their secondary structure includes four short double-helical elements and three loops (D, anti-codon, and T loops). The record is from RNAcentral. Lineage: Bacteria; Bacillati; Bacillota; Clostridia; Eubacteriales; Eubacteriaceae.